This 253-nucleotide ribosomal RNA is filed under the name uncultured bacterium. RNAcentral's name for it is "partial 16S ribosomal RNA". It matches the Rfam family "Bacterial small subunit ribosomal RNA", at positions 524 to 776 of the family's 1533-position model. The record is from RNAcentral.
UACAGAGGGGGCAAGCGUUAUUCGGAAUUAUUGGGCGUAAAGGGCGCGUAGGCGGCCUGGCAAGUGGAAGGUGAAAUCCCUCGGCUUAACCGAGGAACUGCCCUCCAAACUGCUUGGCUUGAGUCCGGGAGAGGUGAGUGGAAUUCCCAGUGUAGCGGUGAAAUGCGUAGAUAUUAGGAGGAACACCAGUGGCGAAGGCGGCUCACUGGACCGGAACUGACGCUGAGGCGCGAAAGCGUGGGGAGCAAACGGG